UACGUAGGGGGCAAGCGUUGUCCGGAAUCAUUGGGCGUAAAGCGCGUGUAGGCGGCUCGUUAAGUCUGCUGGGAAAGUCCAGGGCUCAACCCUGGGAUGCCGGUGGAUACUGUCGAGCUCGAGUCCGGAAGAGGCGAGUGGAAUUCCUGGUGUAGCGGUGAAAUGCGCGGAUAUCAGGAGGAACACCAAUGGCGGAGGCAGCGCGCUGGGCAGUUGCUGACACUGAGGCGCGACAGCGUGGGGAGCAAACAGG
Molecule: ribosomal RNA, 253 nt
Filed under: uncultured bacterium
Lineage: Bacteria
Description: partial 16S ribosomal RNA
Rfam family: Bacterial small subunit ribosomal RNA
Source: RNAcentral